Molecule: small nucleolar RNA, 229 nt
Organism: Pecten maximus
Lineage: Eukaryota; Metazoa; Mollusca; Bivalvia; Pectinida; Pectinidae
Product: small nucleolar RNA SNORA53
Exons: 1
Source: RefSeq, a predicted model, not a curated record
AACACGCUCCUUAGAUCCACUCUUGGGACUUUGACAAGACCGACCUACAUAGCAGCACCGCAGUGUGGGCCCAGUAUUGUUUUGUCCAGCAACUUUGUUGGUUGUAUGUCGAGAGUGAUUGAGUCAUUGGCGUGUGACAGUAAUAUACCUUAGUCGAGGGUCCAACACAGACACACUGUCUGAAUUGGGCACUAUGUAGUGUGACUGUCUGACCCUUGGCUUGGACAUA